CACGCCCUAAACGAUGUCAACUAGCUGUUGGGGCCUUCGGGCCUUAGUAGCGCAGCUAACGCGUGAAGUUGACCGCCUGGGGAGUACGGUCGCAAGAUUAAAACUCAAAGGAAUUGACGGGGACCCGCACAAGCGGUGGAUGAUGUGGAUUAAUUCGAUGCAACGCGAAAAACCUUACCUACCCUUGACAUGUCUAGAAGGCCAAAGAGAUUUGGCUGUGCUCGCAAGAGAACUGGAACACAGGUGC
RNAcentral lists this ribosomal RNA (247 nucleotides) under uncultured Alcaligenaceae bacterium. Its description in RNAcentral is "partial 16S ribosomal RNA". It matches the Rfam family "Bacterial small subunit ribosomal RNA", at positions 796 to 1041 of the family's 1533-position model. Lineage: Bacteria; Pseudomonadati; Pseudomonadota; Betaproteobacteria; Burkholderiales; Alcaligenaceae. The record is from RNAcentral.